Molecule: long non-coding RNA, 197 nt
Organism: Hyaena hyaena (striped hyena)
Lineage: Eukaryota; Metazoa; Chordata; Mammalia; Carnivora; Hyaenidae
Exons: 3
Source: RefSeq, a predicted model, not a curated record
CGGAAUAUACUCUUCGAUUCCUAGCUUAUAAUCGCUAUGGGCCAGGAGUAUCUACUGAUGAUAUAACAGUGGUUACGCUUUCUGAUGUGCCAAGUGCCCCGCCUCAGAACGUCUCCCUGGAAGUGGUUAAUUCAAGGAGUAUCAAAGUAAGCUGGCUGCCUCCUCCAUCAGGAACACAAAAUGGAUUUAUUACUGGC